This is a long non-coding RNA of Astatotilapia calliptera (eastern happy), 1251 nucleotides long. The record is from Ensembl. Lineage: Eukaryota; Metazoa; Chordata; Actinopteri; Cichliformes; Cichlidae.
UUAAAUGUAGCCAUUAUAUACAAAAGUUCUGCUGCGGCCAAGCUGUACGAGUAAACGUGGAUUUAUGGUCUCACUGUGAAAAUCAAAAAGCUGGUUUAGGCUUUGGGAUCCGUUUAUAAUGUUUAAGGAUGAAGGAAAAUGCCUCGUUGGUUUGCACACCGGAAUUGCAACAAAAUUUUGGACCUGGAACAUGGAAAGUAACAUUGAAAUGUGCAAGAGCAGCAAGUAUCAGGGGAGUGAAAAAUAUCAGAAGCCUAUACAGAAAGUUAUUUAGCUACUUUAUAAAUUGUUGCACUCAUUAUAUACCAAAUCAAAGCUUAGUUUUCCCUCUACUUUACAAUUACAGCUACAUAUUUUCAGUUAAAAUGCAAGCCAAUCAUUACUGCCACAUUUAAAGUUUAAAAGGAGUAUUUACCAAGUUAUUAUGCAGGCUUCUUCAGGGAGUUCCCUCCAGCUCUCCAAUCUUGCCCUCUGGAGCCUGGAAAAUAUUUUGGCUUAAGGAGAUGAAAACAGUCUCUUGGGGAGCUGCAGCUACAUGUAUGGGUGUACCUCUAACAGCAAAUAGGAACCCUCAGUGGAGCGUCAACGCAGCUGAAUUAGAGGAUCGUUCUUCUCCUGGGUUUAAUGUAUUUCAGAUGAGCUUCAGAUCAUCUGGAAAGGGUUCCCAAUCUCCCAAGGCAAACACUCAGACACACAGGCGCACCACACCGAGGAUUUUUUUUUUCUCUCUCUCCUUGCUUGCUUCUCUAAGUUUAAUACACCUCCUCUUCCAGGGAUGCCUGGCAAUAUGUGGGCAGCACUAACACUCUACUCAGGGCAAGGAUGAACUAAGUCGUGGCUAGAGGGCGUGGACUGGAGGAGGGGGUUGCGAAUAAAUAAUUUGGGUGGAGUUGCUUUUUAAAAAAAAAAAAAAAAAAAGACAAAAUCUCCCACAGUCCUUAUGCACAUUUUAAAUAUAUACAACUUCACUCUGCAAUCUUUUGACUAUACCUUGGAAACUCCUUGUUUUACAAUAGUUGUAUUUCAGUAUAAUCACAUGCCUUAGAUUUAGACAUGCUAGUCCCCCACCCCCCAUGUAAAAAUGACUUAUUCUUUCCAAAUUCUGCGGAUUCUCCAAGCAAUGACGCAUACAAACCAGCUCUAUGAUUUCACUUCUAUGCACCACCUGCUGACUGUCUGAUAGAGAACACACCCCAGUGCUGAAACCAUUACCACCAUCUCCUCCUCCUGACUAUCAUACAGUCCUCCUCG